Small nuclear RNA from Tupaia belangeri (northern tree shrew), 107 nucleotides. Lineage: Eukaryota; Metazoa; Chordata; Mammalia; Scandentia; Tupaiidae. The record is from Ensembl.
GUGCUCACUUCAGCAGCACUUUUGCUAAAAUUGGAACAAUACAGGGAAGAUUAGCAUGGCCCCUGCGCAAGGAUGACACGCAGAUUUGUGAGGCGCUCCAUAGGAGG